Molecule: ribosomal RNA, 468 nt
Filed under: uncultured bacterium
Lineage: Bacteria
Description: partial 16S ribosomal RNA
Rfam family: Bacterial small subunit ribosomal RNA
Source: RNAcentral
GACGAACGCUGGCGGCGUGCUUAACACAUGCAAGUCGAACGGAAAGGCCCUGCUUUUGUGGGGUGCUCGAGUGGCGAACGGGUGAGUAACACGUGAGUAACCUGCCCUUGACUUUGGGAUAACUUCAGGAAACUGGGGCUAAUACCGGGUAGGAGCUCCUGCUGCAUGGUGGGGGUUGGAAAGUUUCGGCGGUUGGGGAUGGACUCGCGGCUUAUCAGCUUGUUGGUGGGGUAGUGGCUUACCAAGGCUUUGACGGGUAGCCGGCCUGAGAGGGUGACCGGCCACAUUGGGACUGAGAGACGGCCCAGACUGCUACGGGAGGCAGCAGUGGGGAAUAUUGCACAAUGGGCGGAAGCCUGAUGCAGCAACGCCGCGUGCGGGAUGACGGCCUUCGGGUUGUAAACCGCUUUCGCCUGUGACGAAGCGUGAGUGACGGUAAUGGGUAAAGAAGCACCGGCUAACUACGUG